UGGCGAGUGGCGAACGGGUGAGUAACAUAUCGGAACGUACCGGGUAGCGGGGGAUAACUGAUCGAAAGAUCAGCUAAUACCGCAUACGUCUUGAGAGGGAAAGCAGGGGACCUUCGGGCCUUGCGCUAUCCGAGCGGCCGAUAUCUGAUUAGCUGGUUGGCGGGGUAAAGGCCCACCAAGGCGACGAUCAGUAGCGGGUCUGAGAGGAUGAUCCGCCACACUGGGACUGAGACACGGCCCAGACUCCUACGGGAGGCAGCAGUGGGGAAUUUUGGACAAUGGGCGCAAGCCUGAUCCAGCCAUGCCGCGUGUCUGAAGAAGGCCUUCGGGUUGUAAAGGACUUUUGUCAGGGAAGAAAAGGCCGUUGCCAAUAUCGGCGGCCGAUGACGGUACCUGAAGAAUAAGCACCGGCUAACUACGUGCCAGCAGCCGCGGUAAUACGUAGGGUGCGAGCGUUAAUCGGAAUUACUGGGCGUAAAGCGGGCGCAGACGGUUACUUAAGCAGGAUGUGAAAUCCCCGGGCUCAACCCGGGAACUGCGUUCUGAACUGGGUGACUCGAGUGUGUCAGAGGGAGGUGGAAUUCCACGUGUAGCAGUGAAAUGCGUAGAGAUGUGGAGGAAUACCGAUGGCGAAGGCAGCCUCCUGGGAUAACACUGACGUUCAUGUCCGAAAGCGUGGGUAGCAAACAGGAUUAGAUACCCUGGUAGUCCACGCCCUAAACGAUGUCAAUUAGCUGUUGGGCAACUUGAUUGCUUGGUAGCGUAGCUAACGCGUGAAAUUGACCGCCUGGGGAGUACGGUCGCAAGAUUAAAACUCAAAGGAAUUGACGGGGACCCGCACAAGCGGUGGAUGAUGUGGAUUAAUUCGAUGCAACGCGAAGAACCUUACCUGGUUUUGACAUGUGCGGAAUCCUCCGGAGACGGAGGAGUGCCUUCGGGAGCCGUAACACAGGUGCUGCAUGGCUGUCGUCAGCUCGUGUCGUGAGAUGUUGGGUUAAGUCCCGCAACGAGCGCAACCCUUGUCAUUAGUUGCCAUCAUUCGGUUGGGCACUCUAAUGAGACUGCCGGUGACAAGCCGGAGGAAGGUGGGGAUGACGUCAAGUCCUCAUGGCCCUUAUGACCAGGGCUUCACACGUCAUACAAUGGUCGGUACAGAGGGUAGCCAAGCCGCGAGGCGGAGCCAAUCUCACAAAACCGAUCGUAGUCCGGAUUGCACUCUGCAACUCGAGUGCAUGAAGUCGGAAUCGCUAGUAAUCGCAGGUCAGCAUACUGCGGUGAAUACGUUCCCGGGUCUUGUACACACCGCCCGUCACACCAUGGGAGUGGGGGAUACCAGAAGUAGGUAGGGUAACCGCAAGGAGCCC
RNAcentral lists this ribosomal RNA (1364 nucleotides) under Neisseria gonorrhoeae. Its description in RNAcentral is "bacterial SSU rRNA". It matches the Rfam family "Bacterial small subunit ribosomal RNA", at positions 89 to 1451 of the family's 1533-position model. Lineage: Bacteria; Pseudomonadati; Pseudomonadota; Betaproteobacteria; Neisseriales; Neisseriaceae. The record is from RNAcentral.